Non-coding RNA from Cajanus cajan (pigeon pea), 687 nucleotides. The record is from RefSeq and is a predicted model, not a curated record. Lineage: Eukaryota; Viridiplantae; Streptophyta; Magnoliopsida; Fabales; Fabaceae.
CCGAUUUUAUAUCUGCGUUCUUUCAACUUCAUUAUUCACUCUCUCGUGCUUCCAAGAGCAGAAGGAGCGUUAUUCACUCUCUGGUGCGUGCAGGAGCAAGGACGAAAGGAGAACAAGUCGUAGGAGAAGCGUUGAAGAAGCAGUAGAGAAUUUACCUUGACCGGAGCACCGAGAACGAUUAGCAUUUUCCUCCGUCUUCACUUAUGCCUGCAGUCUUCACUGUCUGAGCUUUGUCAUGGUUGUCAUGGUCACGAUUAGCAUUUUCCUCCCGUCGGGCUCCCUCGCCAAGAGUAUGCUCACAGGAAGUGUGUCCAGCACUGGUGUGAUGAGAAAGGAGACAUAACUUGUGAGAUAUGUCAUCAGCCUUAUCAACCCGGCGUUGUAGGAACUAAUGUACUUGCCCUUGGUACUGAUCUUCCCAUAUUGAUUUAGAGAGCUUGCUAUUCAAAUUGCUGAGCAGUUUGAAGCUCUAGGUUCUGAAAUUGGUGUCAAGUGUGCUGUGGAAAUCAGUAUUGACUAAUCUCAUAGAACAACUAAUUAUUUCCAAGGCCAUGGGGGAAAAAUUGAACAGUCUUCAUGAUCAUAGGUAUUCUGAAUAUUAUGUUUUUAUAAUGUAACUAGCAAUCAGCUAAAGGACUUGAUUAUUACAAUGUUGAUAAGACUGAAUUCAGGCUUUGGCCAUUGCAU